Molecule: long non-coding RNA, 404 nt
Organism: Coregonus clupeaformis (lake whitefish)
Lineage: Eukaryota; Metazoa; Chordata; Actinopteri; Salmoniformes; Salmonidae
Exons: 3
Source: RefSeq, a predicted model, not a curated record
UUUCUUCAAUUCACCUCCACCACAGGGAUGCCAAAGGGCCCAGGAUUUCUUCAAUUCACCUCCACCACAGGGUUGCCAAAGGGCCCAGAAUUUAUUCGAUUCACCUCCACCACAGGGUUGCCAAAGGGCCCAGAAUGUCUUCCAUUCACCUCCACCACAGGGUUUCCAAAGAGGCCAAAAUGGAGUUAACCCAUAUUCAAUGAAAGUAGGUGCUCCAAUUAGCAAAUAUUCAGGUUAUCCAGGUACAACUACCAAAGCUGGGCCUGGAAUAUCAGACACUGCCCUGGCUCACAUGCUCAGACCUCUCUCACCGAUGUGUGUGCCGGAAGAUGAUGGUGAAUGGGACUCUGGUUGGGAUCACAUGUCCACCCCUGGGACUUCUACAUGUGUUGACUCUUCCCUGG